CCUACGGGAGACUGCAGUAGGGAAUAUUGCUCAAUGGGGGAAACCCUGAAGCAGCAACGCCGCGUGGAGGAUGAAGGUUUUCGGAUUGUAAACUCCUUUUGUUAGAGAAGAUAAUUACGGUAUCUAACGAAUAACCACCGGCUAACUCCGUGCCAGCAGCCGCGGUAAUACUGUGGGUGCAAGCGUUACUCGGAAUCACUGGGCGUAAAGAGCGCGUAGGUGGGAUAGCAAGUCAGCUGUGAAAUCCUAUGGCUUAACCAUAGAACUGCAUUUGAAACUAUUAUUCUAGAGUAUGGGAGAGGUAGGUGGAAUUCUUGGUGUAGGGGUAAAAUCCGUAGAGAUCAAGAAGAAUACUCAUGGCGAAGGCGGCCUGCUGGAACAUAACUGACGCUGAUGCGCGAAAGCGUGGGGAGCAAACAGGAUUAGAUACCCGGGUAGUC
This 440-nucleotide ribosomal RNA is filed under the name uncultured bacterium. Its description in RNAcentral is "partial 16S ribosomal RNA". It matches the Rfam family "Bacterial small subunit ribosomal RNA", at positions 338 to 795 of the family's 1533-position model. The record is from RNAcentral.